ACGAACGCUGGCGGCGUGCCUAAUACAUGCAAGUCGAACGGUCUUUCUAUGGAAGCUUGCUUCCACUGAGAAGAUAGUGGCGAACGGGUGAGUAACACGUGGGUAACCUGCCCAUAAGAGGGGGAUAACAUCCGGAAACGGGUGCUAAUACCGCAUAGUUUUCUUGAUUGCAUGAUUGAGAAAGGAAAGACGGCCUUUGUGCUGUCGCUUAUGGAUGGACCCGCGGCGUAUUAGUUAGUUGGUGAGGUAACGGCUCACCAAGACGAUGAUACGUAGCCGACCUGAGAGGGUGAUCGGCCACAUUGGGACUGAGACACGGCCCAAACUCCUACGGGAGGCAGCAGUAGGGAAUCUUCCGCAAUGGACGAAAGUCUGACGGAGCAACGCCGCGUGAGUGAAGAAGGUUUUCGGAAUCGUAAAACUCUGUUGUCAGAGAAGAACAAGUUGGAGAGUAACUGCUCCAGCCUUGACGGUAUCUGACCAGAAAGCCACGGCUAACUACGUGCCAGCAGCUGC
RNAcentral lists this ribosomal RNA (516 nucleotides) under uncultured bacterium. RNAcentral describes it as "bacterial SSU rRNA". It matches the Rfam family "Bacterial small subunit ribosomal RNA", at positions 29 to 518 of the family's 1533-position model. The record is from RNAcentral.